CGGACGGGUGAGUAAUACAUGAGGAACCUGCCCUCUACAAGGGGAUAGCCGGGGGAAACCGCGAUUAAUACCCUAUGAGACCACGAAAGCGCAUGCUUUUGAGGUUAAAGAUUGAUCGGUAGAAGAUGGCCUCAUGACCCAUUAGCUAGUUGGUGAUUUAACAGACCACCAAGGCGACGAUGGGUAGCCGGCUUGAGAGAGUGAACGGCCACAUUGGAACUGAGACACGGUCCAG
This 235-nucleotide ribosomal RNA is filed under the name uncultured Clostridiaceae bacterium. RNAcentral describes it as "partial 16S ribosomal RNA". It matches the Rfam family "Bacterial small subunit ribosomal RNA", at positions 99 to 334 of the family's 1533-position model. Lineage: Bacteria; Bacillati; Bacillota; Clostridia; Eubacteriales; Clostridiaceae. The record is from RNAcentral.